This 492-nucleotide ribosomal RNA is filed under the name Triticum aestivum (bread wheat). RNAcentral's name for it is "partial small subunit ribosomal RNA". Lineage: Eukaryota; Viridiplantae; Streptophyta; Magnoliopsida; Poales; Poaceae. The record is from RNAcentral.
AUGUGCCACAACAAUGAGCCAUUAACACCGUCCCAACAACGGCUUCUGUACACAGCAGGGCUGCCUGAUGGUCUUCACAUUGACGUCGAGCUUCGGUGGCCAUCUUACCAACAUACUGCCAUCUCCUUCGCCAAGGCCUAUGAGCAGAAGCAUUUCUCGACAACAAUGCCAUCACACCAGCCCUCUGGUCCUACAGGGCCCUUGUGCCCCUCCAAUCUUCCCGCGGCCAACGCAGCUACAAUACCUUCCCCGCCAGCGCCACUACCACUUAUUCUGUUGUCGACCAUUCCAGAGCCAACCCCGCCACGGCAGGUUUGGCGCUUCACUCCAGCUGAGUUAGAAGAACGUCGCAGCCAAGGCCUUUUCUUCAACUGUGAUGAGAUUUAUGUUCAGGGUCAGCGGUGUGCGCGACUCUUCUUCAUCGAGGCUGAUGACGACGACCAAGAAAGCUCCACAUCUGGUAGCACCCAAGGCUCCCUGGGAGGCAAUUGA